UGGGGAAUAUUGCGCAAUGGGGGAAACCCUGACGCAGCAACGCCGCGUGAAGGAUGAAGGCCUUCGGGUUGUAAACUUUUUUGAUCGGGGACGAAUAAUGACGGUACCCGAAAAACAAGUCACGGCUAACUACGUGCCAGCAGCCGCGGUAAUACGUAGGUGGCAAGCGUUGUCCGGAUUUACUGGGUGUAAAGGGCGUGUAGGCGGGUCAGCAAGUCAGAUGUGAAAUCCCGGGGCUCAACUCCGGAACUGCAUCUGAAACUGUUGAUCUUGAGUACUGGAGAGGAAAGUGGAAUUCCUAGUGUAGCGGUGAAAUGCAUAGAGAUUAGGAGGAACACCAGUGGCGAAGGCGGCUUUCUGGACAGUAACUGACGCUGAGGCGCGAAAGCGUGGGGAGCAAACAGG
RNAcentral lists this ribosomal RNA (405 nucleotides) under uncultured bacterium. RNAcentral describes it as "partial 16S ribosomal RNA". It matches the Rfam family "Bacterial small subunit ribosomal RNA", at positions 355 to 776 of the family's 1533-position model. The record is from RNAcentral. RNAcentral also lists the same sequence under 2 other names.